RNAcentral lists this ribosomal RNA (355 nucleotides) under uncultured Thauera sp. RNAcentral describes it as "bacterial SSU rRNA". It matches the Rfam family "Bacterial small subunit ribosomal RNA", at positions 1023 to 1382 of the family's 1533-position model. The record is from RNAcentral. Lineage: Bacteria; Pseudomonadati; Pseudomonadota; Betaproteobacteria; Rhodocyclales; Zoogloeaceae.
UAGGUACGACGGUUGGUGCAGCGUUGUCGUCAGCUCGUGUCGUGAGAUGUUGGGUUAAGUCCCGCAACGAGCGCAACCCUUGUCAUUAGUUGCCAUCAUUUAGUUGGGCACUCUAAUGAGACUGCCGGUGACAAACCGGAGGAAGGUGGGGAUGACGUCAAGUCCUCAUGGCCCUUAUGGGUAGGGCUUCACACGUCAUACAAUGGUCGGUACAGAGGGUUGCCAAGCCGCGAGGUGGAGCCAAUCCCUUAAAGCCGAUCGUAGUCCGGAUCGUAGUCUGCAACUCGACUACGUGAAGUCGGAAUCGCUAGUAAUCGCAGAUCAGCAUGCUGCGGUGAAUACGUUCCCGGGCCUU